Molecule: ribosomal RNA, 468 nt
Filed under: uncultured Desulfobulbus sp.
Lineage: Bacteria; Pseudomonadati; Thermodesulfobacteriota; Desulfobulbia; Desulfobulbales; Desulfobulbaceae
Description: bacterial SSU rRNA
Rfam family: Bacterial small subunit ribosomal RNA
Source: RNAcentral
CCCGCACAAGCGGUGGAGUAUGUGGUUUAACUCGAUGCAACGCGAAGAACCUUACCUGGCCUUGACAUCCCGGGAAUUUCCUGGAAACAGGAGAGUGCUUUCAUUAGAGAGAACCUGGAGACAGGUGCUGCAUGGCUGUCGUCAGCUCGUGUCGUGAGAUGUUGGGUUAAGUCCCGCAACGAGCGCAACCCUUGCCUUUAGUUGCCAGCAGUUCGGCUGGGCACUCUAAAGGGACUGCCGGUGUCAAACCGGAGGAAGGUGGGGAUGACGUCAAGUCCUCAUGGCCUUUAUGGCCAGGGCUACACACGUACUACAAUGGCCGGUACAAAGGGCAGCGACAUUGCGAGAUGGAGCGAAUCCCGAAAAGCCGGUCUCAGUCCGGAUUGGAGUCUGCAACUCGACUCCAUGAAGUUGGAAUCGCUAGUAAUCGUGGAUCAGCAUGCCACGGUGAAUACGUUCCCGGGCCUU